AUUGAACGCUGGCGGCAGGCCUAACACAUGCAAGUCGAGCGGAUGAAGGGAGCUUGCUCCUGGAUUCAGCGGCGGACGGGUGAGUAAUGCCUAGGAAUCUGCCUGGUAGUGGGGGAUAACGUCCGGAAACGGGCGCUAAUACCGCAUACGUCCUGAGGGAGAAAGUGGGGGAUCUUCGGACCUCACGCUAUCAGAUGAGCCUAGGUCGGAUUAGCUAGUUGGUGGGGUAAAGGCCUACCAAGGCGACGAUCCGUAACUGGUCUGAGAGGAUGAUCAGUCACACUGGAACUGAGAAACGGGCCAGACUCCUACGGGAGGCAGGAGUGGGGAAUAUUGGACCAUGGGCGAAAGCCUGAUCCAGCCAUGCCGCGUGUGUGAAGAAGGUCUUCGGAUUGUAAAGCACUUUAAGUUGGGAGGAAGGGCAGUAAGUUAAUACCUUGCUGUUUUGACGUUACCAACAGAAUAAGCACCGGCUAACUUCGUG
Molecule: ribosomal RNA, 484 nt
Filed under: uncultured bacterium
Lineage: Bacteria
Description: partial 16S ribosomal RNA
Rfam family: Bacterial small subunit ribosomal RNA
Source: RNAcentral